Molecule: ribosomal RNA, 491 nt
Filed under: uncultured bacterium
Lineage: Bacteria
Description: bacterial SSU rRNA
Rfam family: Bacterial small subunit ribosomal RNA
Source: RNAcentral
AGUGAACGCUGGCGGCAGGCCUAACACAUGCAAGUCGAACGGCAGCACGGCAGUAGCAAUACUGUGGGUGGCGAGUGGCGGACGGGUGAGGAAUACAUCGGGAUCUACCCUGUUGUGGGGGAUAACGUAGGGAAACUUACGCUAAUACCGCAUAAGAACUGAGGUUGAAAGCGGCGGACCGCAAGGCGUCGCGCGAUUGGAUGAACCGAUGUCCGAUUAGCUAGUUGGCGGGGUAAAGGCCCACCAAGGCGACGAUCGGUAGCUGGUCUGAGAGGACGACCAGCCACACUGGAACUGAGACACGGUCCAGACUCCUACGGGAGGCAGCAGUGGGGAAUAUUGGACAAUGGGCGCAAGCCUGAUCCCAGCCAUGCCGCGUGGGUGAAGAAGGCCUUCGGGUUGUAAAGCCCUUUUGUCCGGAAAGAAAAGCAUUCGGUUAAUACCCGGGUGUUCUGACGGUACCGGAAGAAUAAGCACCGGCUAACUUCGUG